UAUAGAUGUCAUAGAUCACUCAAC
Molecule: non-coding RNA, 24 nt
Filed under: Arabidopsis thaliana (thale cress)
Lineage: Eukaryota; Viridiplantae; Streptophyta; Magnoliopsida; Brassicales; Brassicaceae
Source: RNAcentral